AUUAGUACCCACUAUUUAUAUUUGAAAAAAGCAACCCAAUUCAUUGCACCUGACCUCACCAACACUCUCUUUUCCCAAUUCGCACACAACCCUAAGACAGAAGUCACUUUCAAUCUGUGCUCCAGAAAUCUCCCUGAUCAUUCUCACCAUUUUGCUUCUCUCCGUCCGAUCAGGUAUAAACUAUUCCUCUUUCUCUCUGUCCGAUUAUGUAUAAAUUGUUGUCC
This 224-nucleotide long non-coding RNA is filed under the name Carica papaya (papaya). RNAcentral describes it as "long non-coding RNA (CPAP_LNC016211)". Lineage: Eukaryota; Viridiplantae; Streptophyta; Magnoliopsida; Brassicales; Caricaceae. The record is from RNAcentral.